UACGGAGGGUGCAAGCGUUAAUCGGAAUUACCGGGCGUAAAGCGUGCGCAGGCGGUUUGUUAAGUCUGCUGUGAAAUCCCCGAGCUCAACUUGGGAAUUGCAGUGGAUACUGGCAAGCUGGAGUACGGUAGAGGAAGGUGGAAUUCCCGGUGUAGCAGUGAAAUGCGUAGAGAUCGGGAGGAACACCAGUGGCGAAGGCGGCCUUCUGGACCAGUACUGACGCUCAUGCACGAAAGCGUGGGGAGCAAACAGG
This 253-nucleotide ribosomal RNA is filed under the name uncultured bacterium. RNAcentral's name for it is "partial 16S ribosomal RNA". It matches the Rfam family "Bacterial small subunit ribosomal RNA", at positions 524 to 776 of the family's 1533-position model. The record is from RNAcentral.